This is a long non-coding RNA of Cyprinodon tularosa, 390 nucleotides long. RefSeq lists it as uncharacterized. The transcript is spliced from 2 exons. NCBI's taxonomy places the organism in Eukaryota, Metazoa, Chordata, Actinopteri, Cyprinodontiformes, Cyprinodontidae. The record is from RefSeq and is a predicted model, not a curated record.
UCAAACAGGACUGUCCUCUGUUUCCUCUCUCUGAGGCUCCUGUUUUGGCUCAGAGAAGAUUUAACGCUCUCCAGGCGAGGCGUCUUUCACCUGUCUGCAGCUGCAGUGCGUCUGUCAUUAAACCAGCCCUGUCACAGGUCCGCUCCUGAUGGAUCCUCCUGCAGCUGCAAGAUCAGGAGAUCAUUUAGGACAUGAUCAGAUAGCAGCCGGAGUACCCGGAGAGAACCCACGCAUGCUCAGGGAGAACAUGCAAACUCCAUGCAGAAAGACUCUGGGCCGGGAAUCGAACCCAGAACCUUGUUGCUGCAAAGCAGCAGUGCUAUCCACUGCGUCACUCAGCAGCCCCUUCUUUCCCAUAUUAAACUGAAAUAAAAUUUAAAAAUCAGCUAA